GGUUUGUGGCUCAGUGGUAGAGCGCUUGCCUAGCACGGGCAAGAACCUUGGUUCAAUCCUCAGCACCA
This 68-nucleotide transfer RNA is filed under the name Marmota monax (woodchuck). RNAcentral's name for it is "tRNA.Ala". The record is from RNAcentral. Lineage: Eukaryota; Metazoa; Chordata; Mammalia; Rodentia; Sciuridae.